AUUGAACGCUGGCGGCGUGCUUAACACAUGCAAGUCGAUCGGUAACAGGUGUAGCAAUACAUGCUGACGAGAGGCGGACGGGUGAGUAAUGCUUGGGAAUCUGCCUAUUAGUGGGGGACAACCCGGGGAAACUCGGGCUAAUACCGCAUACGCUCUACGGAGGAAAGCCGGGGACCGCAAGGCCUGGCGCUAAUAGAUGAGCCCAAGUCGGAUUAGCUAGUUGGUAGGGAACGGCCUACCAAGGCGACAAUCCGUAGCUGGUCUGAGAGGACGACCAGCCACACCGGAACUGAGACACGGUCCGGACUCCUACGGGAGGCAGCAGUGGGGAAUAUUGGACAAUGGGGCAACCCUGAUCCAGCGACGCCGCGUGGGUGAAGAAGGCCUGCGGGUUGUAAAGCCCGUUUCGGUGGGGAAGAAAAGUCUCGACCUAAUACGUCGGGACCUUGACGUAACCCACUAAAGAAGCACCGGCUAACUCUGUGCC
RNAcentral lists this ribosomal RNA (487 nucleotides) under uncultured bacterium. Its description in RNAcentral is "bacterial SSU rRNA". It matches the Rfam family "Bacterial small subunit ribosomal RNA", at positions 29 to 509 of the family's 1533-position model. The record is from RNAcentral.